GACGAACGCUGGCGGCGUGCCUAAUACAUGCAAGUUGAGCGAUUAAGGGUGGUGCUUGCCUCAAUUUGAAGAGCGGCGAACGGGUGAGUCAUGCGUGGGGAAUCUGCCUUUGAGCGGGGGACAACAUUAGGAAACGAAUGCUAAUACCGCAUAACAACUUUAAACAUAAGUUUUAAGUUUGAAAGAUGCAAUUGCAUCACUCAAAGAUGAUUCCGCGUUGUAUUAGCUAGUUGGGGAGGUAAAGGCCCACCAAGGCGAGGAUACAUAGCAGACCUGAGAGGGUGAUCGGCCACAUUGGGACUGAGACACGGCCCAGACUCCUACGGGAGGCAGCAGUAGGGAAUCUUGGGCAAUGGACGAAAGUCUGACCGAGCAACGCCGCGUGAGUGAAGAAGGUCUUCGGAUCGUAAAACUCUUUUAGUAGGGAGGAACGGUAGUGAGAUUGUAAAUCGCUGUUAUUACCUUAAACAACCAAUAAAGGGACGCUAAACUACUG
RNAcentral lists this ribosomal RNA (496 nucleotides) under uncultured bacterium. RNAcentral's name for it is "partial 16S ribosomal RNA". It matches the Rfam family "Bacterial small subunit ribosomal RNA", at positions 28 to 506 of the family's 1533-position model. The record is from RNAcentral.